AUACGUAGGUGGCAAGCGUUGUCCGGAAUUAUUGGGCGUAAAGCGCGCGCAGGUGGUUCCUUAAGUCUGAUGUGAACGCCCCCGGCUCAACCGGGGAGGGUCAUUGGAAACUGGGGAACUUGAGUGCAGAAGAGGAUAGUGGAAUUCCAAGUGUAGCGGUGAAAUGCGUAGAGAUUUGGAGGAACACCAGUGGCGCAGACGGCUGGCUGGUCUGUAACGGGCACUGAAGGGCGAAAGCGUGGGGAGCAAACAGGAUUAGAUACCCUGGUAGUCCACGCCGUAAACGAUGAGUGCUAAGUGUUGGGGGGUUUCCGCCCCUCAGUGCUGCAGCUAACGCAUUAAGCACUCCGCCUGGGGAGUACGGUCGCAAGACUGAAACUCAAAGGAAUUGACGGGG
This 397-nucleotide ribosomal RNA is filed under the name uncultured bacterium. RNAcentral's name for it is "partial 16S ribosomal RNA". It matches the Rfam family "Bacterial small subunit ribosomal RNA", at positions 523 to 918 of the family's 1533-position model. The record is from RNAcentral.